AAAUGAAUUGACGGGGACCCGCACAAGCAGCGGAGCAUGUGGUUUAAUUCGAAGCAACGCGAAGAACCUUACCAAGACUUGACAUUGUAUGAUUGCCGCAGAGAUGCGGAGUUUCCUUCGGGGACAUACGGACAGGUGGUGCAUGGUUGUCGUCAGCUCGUGUCGUGAGAUGUUGGGUUAAGUCCCGCAACGAGCGCAACCCUUAUUGAUAGUUGCCAAUAUUAAGUUAGGAACUCUAUCGAGACUGCCGUGGAUAACACGGAGGAAGGUGAGGAUGACGUCAAAUCAUCAUGCCCCUUACGUCUUGGGCUACACACGUGCUACAAUGGCUAUUACAAAGAGCAGCGAGGCGGUAACGCGGAGCAAAUCUCAUAAAGAUAGUCUCAGUUCGGAUUGUGGGCUGCAACCCGCCCACAUGAAGUUGGAGUUGCUAGUAAUCCCGAAUCAGCACGUCGGGGUGAAUGCGUUCCCGGGUCUUGUACACACCGCCCGU
Molecule: ribosomal RNA, 493 nt
Filed under: uncultured bacterium
Lineage: Bacteria
Description: bacterial SSU rRNA
Rfam family: Bacterial small subunit ribosomal RNA
Source: RNAcentral